AGGCUGUCUCCACCCGAGACUCAGUGAAAUUGAACUCGCUGUGAAGAUGCAGUGUACCCGCGGCAAGACGGAAAGACCCCGUGAACCUUUACUAUAGCUUGACACUGAACACUGGUCCUUGAUGUGCAGGAUAGGUGGGAGGCUUUGAAGCGCGGACGCCAGUUCGUGUGGAGCCAUCCUUGAAAUACCACCCUUUAAUGGCUGGUGUUCUAACGUAGACCCGUGAUCCGGGUUGCGGACAGUGUCUGGUGGGUAGUUUGACUGGGGCGGUCUCCUCCUAAAGAGUAACGGAGGAGCACGAAGGUUAGCUAAUCCUGGUCGGACAUCAGGAGGUUAGUGCAAAGGCAUAAGCUAGCUUGACUGCGAGCGUGACGGCGCGAGCAGGUGCGAAAGCAGGUCUUAGUGAUCCGGUGGUUCUGAAUGGAAGGGCCAUCGCUCAACGGAUAAAAGGUACUCCGGGGAUAACAGGCUGAUACCGCCCAAGAGUUCAUAUCGACGGCGGUGUUUGGCA
Molecule: ribosomal RNA, 511 nt
Filed under: Salmonella enterica
Lineage: Bacteria; Pseudomonadati; Pseudomonadota; Gammaproteobacteria; Enterobacterales; Enterobacteriaceae
Also listed under: 16 other names
Description: partial 23S ribosomal RNA
Rfam family: Bacterial large subunit ribosomal RNA
Source: RNAcentral